This 1150-nucleotide ribosomal RNA is filed under the name Bacillus aerophilus. RNAcentral's name for it is "bacterial SSU rRNA". It matches the Rfam family "Bacterial small subunit ribosomal RNA", at positions 56 to 1204 of the family's 1533-position model. The record is from RNAcentral. Lineage: Bacteria; Bacillati; Bacillota; Bacilli; Caryophanales; Bacillaceae.
UGCAGUCGAGCGGACAGAAGGGAGCUUGCUCCCGGAUGUUAGCGGCGGACGGGUGAGUAACACGUGGGUAACCUGCCUGUAAGACUGGGAUAACUCCGGGAAACCGGAGCUAAUACCGGAUAGUUCCUUGAACCGCAUGGUUCAAGGAUGAAAGACGGUUUCGGCUGUCACUUACAGAUGGACCCGCGGCGCAUUAGCUAGUUGGUGAGGUAACGGCUCACCAAGGCGACGAUGCGUAGCCGACCUGAGAGGGUGAUCGGCCACACUGGGACUGAGACACGGCCCAGACUCCUACGGGAGGCAGCAGUAGGGAAUCUUCCGCAAUGGACGAAAGUCUGACGGAGCAACGCCGCGUGAGUGAUGAAGGUUUUCGGAUCGUAAAGCUCUGUUGUUAGGGAAGAACAAGUGCAAGAGUAACUGCUUGCACCUUGACGGUACCUAACCAGAAAGCCACGGCUAACUACGUGCCAGCAGCCGCGGUAAUACGUAGGUGGCAAGCGUUGUCCGGAAUUAUUGGGCGUAAAGGGCUCGCAGGCGGUUUCUUAAGUCUGAUGUGAAAGCCCCCGGCUCAACCGGGGAGGGUCAUUGGAAACUGGGAAACUUGAGUGCAGAAGAGGAGAGUGGAAUUCCACGUGUAGCGGUGAAAUGCGUAGAGAUGUGGAGGAACACCAGUGGCGAAGGCGACUCUCUGGUCUGUAACUGACGCUGAGGAGCGAAAGCGUGGGGAGCGAACAGGAUUAGAUACCCUGGUAGUCCACGCCGUAAACGAUGAGUGCUAAGUGUUAGGGGGUUUCCGCCCCUUAGUGCUGCAGCUAACGCAUUAAGCACUCCGCCUGGGGAGUACGGUCGCAAGACUGAAACUCAAAGGAAUUGACGGGGGCCCGCACAAGCGGUGGAGCAUGUGGUUUAAUUCGAAGCAACGCGAAGAACCUUACCAGGUCUUGACAUCCUCUGACAACCCUAGAGAUAGGGCUUUCCCUUCGGGACAGAGUGACAGUGGUGCAGGGUGUCGUCAGCUCGUGUCGUGAGAUGUUGGGUAAGUCCCGCACGAGCGCACCCUUGAUCUAGUGCCAGCAUUUAGUGGGCCCUCUAAGGGACUGCCGGGGAAAACCGGAGGAGGGGGGGAAGAAGUCAAUUCAUCUGGCCCUUA